GGGACUGGUUAGUCCGUGUGUCA
RNAcentral lists this non-coding RNA (23 nucleotides) under Arabidopsis thaliana (thale cress). The record is from RNAcentral. Lineage: Eukaryota; Viridiplantae; Streptophyta; Magnoliopsida; Brassicales; Brassicaceae.